UACAGAGGUGGCAAGCGUUGUUCGGAAUUACUGGGCGUAAAGGGCGCGUAGGCGGCCAUCUAAGUCAGACGUGAAAUCCCCCGGCUUAACCUGGGAACUGCGUCUGAUACUGGAAGGCUUGAGUAUGGGAGAGGGAUGUAGAAUUCCAGGUGUAGCGGUGAAAUGCGUAGAUAUCUGGAGGAAUACCGGUGGCGAAGGCGGCAUCCUGGACCAUUACUGACGCUGAGGCGCGAAAGCUAGGGAAGCAAACGGG
This 253-nucleotide ribosomal RNA is filed under the name uncultured bacterium. Its description in RNAcentral is "partial 16S ribosomal RNA". It matches the Rfam family "Bacterial small subunit ribosomal RNA", at positions 524 to 776 of the family's 1533-position model. The record is from RNAcentral.